CACGUAGGGCGCAAGCGUUGUCCGGAAUUAUUGGGCGUAAAGAGCUCGUAGGCGGUCUGUUGCGUCCGCUGUGAAAACUCGGGGCUUAACCCCGAGCCUGCAGUGGAUACGGGCAGACUAGAGGUAGGUAGGGGAGAAUGGAAUUCCCGGUGUAGCGGUGAAAUGCGCAGAUAUCAGGAGGAACACCGGUGGCGAAGGCGGGUCUCUGGGCCAUUACUGACGCUGAGGAGCGAAAGCGUGGGGAGCGAACAGG
RNAcentral lists this ribosomal RNA (253 nucleotides) under uncultured bacterium. RNAcentral describes it as "partial 16S ribosomal RNA". It matches the Rfam family "Bacterial small subunit ribosomal RNA", at positions 524 to 776 of the family's 1533-position model. The record is from RNAcentral.